RNAcentral lists this ribosomal RNA (299 nucleotides) under uncultured beta proteobacterium. RNAcentral describes it as "partial 16S ribosomal RNA". It matches the Rfam family "Bacterial small subunit ribosomal RNA", at positions 1090 to 1397 of the family's 1533-position model. The record is from RNAcentral. Lineage: Bacteria; Pseudomonadati; Pseudomonadota; Betaproteobacteria.
CAACGAGCGCACCCUUGCCUUAGUUGCUACGAAAGGGCACUCUAAUGGGACUGCCGGUGACAAACCGGAGGAAGGUGGGGAUGACGUCAAGUCCUCAUGGCCCUUAUAGGUGGGGCUACACACGUCAUACAAUGGCUGGUACAGAGGGUUGCCAACCCGCGAGGGGGAGCUAAUCCCAUAAAGCCAGUCGUAGUCCGGAUCGCAGUCUGCAACUCGACUGCGUGAAGUCGGAAUCGCUAGUAAUCGCGGAUCAGAAUGUCGCGGUGAAUACGUUCCCGGGUCUUGCACACACCGCCCGU